AGUCGGACGGCAGCGGGGUAGUGCUUGCACUACUGCCGGCGAGUGGCGAACGGGUGAGUAACAUAUCGGAACGUACCGAGCAGUGGGGGAUAACUAAUCGAAAGAUUAGCUAAUACCGCAUAUAUUCUGAGGAAGAAAGCAGGGGACCUUUGGGCCUUGCGCUGUUUGAGCGGCCGAUAUCUGAUUAGCUGGUUGGUGGGGUAAAGGCCUACCAAGGCGACGAUCAGUAGCGGGUCUGAGAGGAUGAUCCGCCACACUGGGACUGAGACACGGCCCAGACUCCUACGGGAGGCAGCAGUGGGGAAUUUUGGACAAUGGGGGCAACCCUGAUCCAGCCAUGCCGCGUGUCUGAAGAAGGCCUUCGGGUUGUAAAGGACUUUUGUCCGGGAAGAAAAGCGCGAUGUUAAUACCAUUGCGUGCUGGCGGUACCGGAAGAAUAAGCACCGGCUAACUACGUGCCAGCAGCCGCGGUAAUACGUAGGGUGCGAGCGUUAAUCGGAAUUACUGGGCGUAAAGCGGGCGCAGACGGUUACUUAAGCAGGAUGUGAAAUCCCCGGGCUCAACCUGGGAAUUGCGUUCUGAACUGGGUGGCUAGAGUGUGUCAGAGGGGGGUAGAAUUCCACGUGUAGCAGUGAAAUGCGUAGAGAUGUGGAGGAAUACCGAUGGCGAAGGCAGCCCCCUGGGAUGGCACUGACGUUCAUGCCCGAAAGCGUGGGUAGCAAACAGGAUUAGAUACCCUGGUAGUCCACGCCCUAAACGAUGUCGAUUAGCUGUUGGGCAACUUGAUUGCUUGGUAGCGAAGCUAACGCGUGAAAUCGACCGCCUGGGGAGUACGGUCGCAAGAUUAAAACUCAAAGGAAUUGACGGGGACCCGCACAAGCGGUGGAUGAUGUGGAUUAAUUC
This 903-nucleotide ribosomal RNA is filed under the name uncultured Neisseria sp. RNAcentral describes it as "bacterial SSU rRNA". It matches the Rfam family "Bacterial small subunit ribosomal RNA", at positions 60 to 952 of the family's 1533-position model. Lineage: Bacteria; Pseudomonadati; Pseudomonadota; Betaproteobacteria; Neisseriales; Neisseriaceae. The record is from RNAcentral.